GAAAGCCGUAUGCGGGAGAACCGCGUGUCCGGUUUGAUGAGGGGAGGCUGUGACGGAUGGCGCGUGAAUAUGCGUUGUUUGUUGCAGUCUUCUACUCUAAC
RNAcentral lists this unclassified non-coding RNA (101 nucleotides) under Nitrosomonas marina. The record is from RNAcentral. Lineage: Bacteria; Pseudomonadati; Pseudomonadota; Betaproteobacteria; Nitrosomonadales; Nitrosomonadaceae.